RNAcentral lists this ribosomal RNA (249 nucleotides) under Triticum aestivum (bread wheat). Its description in RNAcentral is "partial small subunit ribosomal RNA". The record is from RNAcentral. Lineage: Eukaryota; Viridiplantae; Streptophyta; Magnoliopsida; Poales; Poaceae.
AUGUGUCUAAACAAAAAAACUUUUCUUAUUCGUCCUUUUCUAUCUUCCCACUCAUCUCCACUAUACCCCUCGUCUUCUAAUUCCUUCCAUUCGACCAAAGAAUUCUCUAUAAUAAUUCGCAAAUCCAAAUCUGCUAAUUGUUCUCUAAUAGAACUUGCUCCUGUCGCAAUUUCCCGAUUUCGAAAUGUUGCAAAGCCCGGGGAAGAAAAAGGAGAAAUGUUGUGGUUACAGGAUGCAAUUUCCUCUUCC